RNAcentral lists this ribosomal RNA (460 nucleotides) under uncultured bacterium. RNAcentral's name for it is "partial 16S ribosomal RNA". It matches the Rfam family "Bacterial small subunit ribosomal RNA", at positions 338 to 795 of the family's 1533-position model. The record is from RNAcentral.
CCUACGGGUGGCAGCAGUGAGGAAUAUUGGUCAAUGGGCGCGAGCCUGAACCAGCCAAGCCGCGUGAAGGAUGACUGCCCUAUGAGUUGUAAACUUCUUUUGUAAGGGAGUAAAGACCUUUACGUGUAGCGUGUUGACAGUACCUUACGAAUAAGCAUCGGCUAACUCCGUGCCAGCAGCCGCGGUAAUACGGAGGAUGCGAGCGUUAUCCGGAUUUAUUGGGGUUAAAGGGUGCGUAGGCGGGCUGAUAAGGUAGUGGUGAAAUUUUGGGGCUCAACCCCAAAAAUGCCUUUAAUACUGGAGAACUAGAGAACAGAUGAGGUAGGCGGAAUGCGUGGUGUAGCGGUGAAAUGCAUAGAUAUCACGCAGAACACCGAUUGCGAAGGCAGCUUACCAGACUGAAUCUGACGCUGAGGCACGAAAGCGUGGGUAGCGAACAGGAUUAGAUACCCGAGUAGUC